Molecule: small nuclear RNA, 164 nt
Filed under: Mesitornis unicolor (brown roatelo)
Lineage: Eukaryota; Metazoa; Chordata; Aves; Mesitornithiformes; Mesitornithidae
Description: U1 spliceosomal RNA
Rfam family: U1 spliceosomal RNA
About the family: U1 is a small nuclear RNA (snRNA) component of the spliceosome (involved in pre-mRNA splicing). Its 5' end forms complementary base pairs with the 5' splice junction, thus defining the 5' donor site of an intron.
Source: Rfam by way of RNAcentral
UUACUUACCUGGCAGGGGAGACACCAUGACCAUGCAGGUGAUUUUCGCAGGGUGAGGCUCAUCCCCUGCACUCCGGGUGUGCUGAUCCCUGCGAUUUCCCUUAAUGGGGGAAACUCGACUGCAUAAUUUGUGGUCGUGGGGGACUGCGUUCGUGCUCUCCCCUG